UCCACCCGGUCAUAGUAGGGGGGCAACACCCGGACUCAUCUCGAACCCGGAAGUUAAGUCCCCUACGUUGGUAGGGCGGUGGGAUCCGCAAGGGCCCGCAGCCCUGCCAAGCCGGGAUGGA
Molecule: ribosomal RNA, 121 nt
Filed under: Candidatus Aramenus sulfurataquae
Lineage: Archaea; Thermoproteati; Thermoproteota; Thermoprotei; Sulfolobales; Sulfolobaceae
Source: RNAcentral